Molecule: ribosomal RNA, 506 nt
Filed under: uncultured bacterium
Lineage: Bacteria
Description: partial 16S ribosomal RNA
Rfam family: Bacterial small subunit ribosomal RNA
Source: RNAcentral
GAUGAACGCUAGCUACAGGCUUAACACAUGCAAGUCGAGGGGUAACGAGAGGAAGGCUUGCUUUCCUUGUCGACGACCGGCGCACGGGUGAGUAACGCGUAUCCAACCUGCCCCCAACUAGGGAAUAACCUUGCGAAAGUAAGACUAAUACCCUAUAAUUUCCUCAGAUGCCAUCUGACGAGGAAUAAAGAUUUAUCGGUUGUGGAUGGGGAUGCGUCUGAUUAGCUUGUUGGCGGGGUAACGGCCCACCAAGGCAACGAUCAGUAGGGGUUCUGAGAGGAAGGUCCCCCACAUUGGAACUGAGACACGGUCCAAACUCCUACGGGAGGCAGCAGUGAGGAAUAUUGGUCAAUGAGCGGAAGCCUGAACCAGCCAAGUAGCGUGCAGGAUGACGGCCCUAUGGGUUGUAAACUGCUUUUAUACAGGAAUAAAGUUAGCCACGUGUGGUUAUUUGUAGGUACUGUAUGAAUAAGGACCGGCUAAUUCCGUGCCAGCCGCCGCCGUAA